UUCUCUUUUCGAGGUGUUGUAGCUGGCUUAAGAGGGCAGAUGGAAGCAUCUGCCUCAGGGGCAGGUGAGCGGGCAGAGGUGUCUCGCACAGACUCAAAGGAGCAAACUGCAUUCUGAAGAGCUGUGUAAGAAGGGGGCUGGUCAUGAGCUUGGUUGGAGUGAAAUGGCUAAGGAGUAUGAGGUGAAGAGGUGCCUGAAGCCGUGUCUCGUGUGGGCUGAGGACGCCUCACUGAGGAUGAAGCCUGCUUUCCAGCAGGUCCCAAAGCUGUGUUGGCGCUGAAAUGUUGUGUCUGUAUUUGGGUUGGGGUUGUGCCUUGGUGAGUGUGGGGAUGGGUUUUAAGUCGGUGCAGCAGAUAUGUAUAUAAAUGAAAUUCACAUAAGUGAUAUAUGAUGAAGUAUUGUGAAUCCUUGAACUUCUAGCCUACAUUAGCUAAUAUGUAUGGAGUUGCAUGAAACAUUGAGAAGCAGCUUCUAAUAAGCAGGUUUUUGUUGUCAUUAACUCAGCCCAUGCCUUUGCCAUACGUAAAGAUCAAGACAAACUACCUUUUUACACAGGAACUGCUGUGGGUGCACAGAAAGUCCUAGAGGACAUUUAGGGCUGUAUUUUGGUUCCCAAAGUGUUUUUACCUGGUCCAACUGAUUUAUAUUGGCCGAGCCUCUUCAUAGGGUCCCUGUGUGGUUGCAGAGCCUAGCCACGGUGUUUCCA
Oxyura jamaicensis (ruddy duck) is the source of this 706-nucleotide long non-coding RNA. RefSeq lists it as uncharacterized. NCBI's taxonomy places the organism in Eukaryota, Metazoa, Chordata, Aves, Anseriformes, Anatidae. The record is from RefSeq and is a predicted model, not a curated record. The transcript is spliced from 3 exons.